RNAcentral lists this transfer RNA (76 nucleotides) under Candidatus Altimarinota bacterium. RNAcentral describes it as "tRNA-Ile". It matches the Rfam family "tRNA". Rfam says of the family: Transfer RNA (tRNA) molecules are approximately 80 nucleotides in length. Their secondary structure includes four short double-helical elements and three loops (D, anti-codon, and T loops). RNAcentral also lists the same sequence under 1 other name. Lineage: Bacteria; Candidatus Altimarinota. The record is from RNAcentral.
GGGCCUGUAGCUCAGGGGUUAGAGCAGAAGACUCAUAAUCUUUUUGUCGAUGGUUCAAUUCCAUCCAGGCCCACCA